UUGGUGAAAGCAAGAUAGAAUAAACUUGAAAUUAUUCUGCAUCUGUUUUUGUUACACAUGAUAACCAAGGAGACAAAAACACUCCAGGCCCUACUUCUGCUACCAGUAGUUGAGUAUUGGUAUUUUGUAUCCUUGAUGGCCAUAUUUGAUUUUUUUAAGAGACAGAAAAUAAACAAAAACUCUAUGUGCUGUUUCCUGUGUUUGCAAGAACUGUGACCUUUGGCUCUUAUAAAUCUAUUCAAAGCCCAAGUCUGGAGAUUGGGUGUUUCAGGAAUGUUCAAAAUAUAGCUUGGGAUUUAUAGAGCUGCAAACUUUUCUUGGCUUUUCUUGGUCCAUUUCAUUUGAUAAAACUUAACUGGUAAACAAUGUAGCUGUACAUCCUCUACAAAACAUCCAUUAGGUUAUCUUGCUUUCUACCAAACUAGAGUUUGUUUGCACAAAGAAUUAAUGAGAGGGGUUACUGAAGGACUCCAGUCUCUACUUUUCUUCUACUUGGACAAAUUGUUUGCAAUACCAGCACCGACAAAUGCAAAUACAAGUAAUUGACAUCCUAACGUAUAAUUCGCUUUCAGGGAAUAUAGCUCCACUGUUAAAACAAACAAACAAACAAACAAACAAACAAACAAAAAAUGUGUUUUCUUAAAGGUCCUUUCUGGGGGCUUGAUGACAGAGCAGUUGAAAUUUCUAUUAGUGACCCAGAUCUCUGAAACUUGAAUACAGCAAUUUCCUUAAGUCAUGUUUCAGCCUUGCUAUUUAAAAUAGGGUCUCUUAACGCUGAAGAUCAUAACUUUCAUAAUGAAAGUAUGGCUGGUAUUCAAAUUAGUUGGAAUUAACAUAAUACAUUUCUGUGUCUAGAAACUUUUCAAGCCUCAGAAUCUAACACUUGAAAUAUAUUUCAAGAAUUUAUCAUUAAGCCAGAACGCUUGAAGUAGUGUUGCCUCCCAGCCUACUUGGAUAGAAAAUGGCCGUGCUGACCUUUCUCGCUGAAAUCGUUACUCCUCAAAAUAGAGACAGAAUAUCUCACUCUCACCUUUGGGGUGUCAUCCUAAACCCUCAUUUGGUAGGCAGCUACUCUGAGCCAUACCCAGUGUGGGAAGCUUUCUGAUGACCCUAUUUCACAAGAGCAGCAGUUUCUAAAGUGGACUUCUUGAGUUCCAGAGGAUAUACAAGAUAGUUCUUUUAUAUUAAUUUUUAGUUUAGAAAAUAAGAUAGCAACUAAGUCUACUAAUAUUUAAUAUCCAGAUUGAAACUGGUUACGUCGUUAUGGUUAUGGGCUGGAAGAGUUUAGGGAUUAUAUUAUUUCAGGGUUGUAUUACAUUGAGUAGAAAACUAGUUCCAAAAAUGUGUACUAAAAUGAGGAGACAACAUGAAAAUCCUACGUACCAUAAAGAGAGACUGGUUUUUCUCACAGAGAAGUCCUUUAAAAAGUUGGAGAAUUUGAAGAUGAGUGCAUGUUUUUCUCUUGCAAAAAAAACAACUGUCCCAAAUUUCUGAACUUUUCUAUGAUUAAAAGUGUCUGUUAAGCAGUAUUUAAAUACACACACACACCCGUAAUAUGUCCCAAUGUAAAAGAGGCAUUUUUAAUAAGAAGUGAGAAAAUGAUCAGUUUGGAAAAUAAUGCUUGCUAUCAAGACAGAAUUUUGAAAACAGAUGUUUGGCAAUGUUUUCAACAUUAUGCAACUUUGUUACUGAAAACAAUUUAAGUGUGUCAAUUAUAAAACACCCAUCUGCAUACUUUGGAAAUUAAAUAUUAUAUACUUUAUAAAAAUAUAUAAUAUUUGUUCAUUUGUGUUAAUGCUUUAUUUAGAAUAUUUGCAUCUCUGCUUAUAAAAGAGAUCGGCCUUUCUACCUGCCUUUGAAUUGAUGAAGUACUAAGGAAGAUGAAGUUAUCCAGUGGAAAGACCUUGGGCCCUGACACAAGUGUGGAAGACUUUGGAUCUUGAAGCUACAUGGGACUACCUCAUCAACUAUUCUGUGAGCAAGAAGAAAACUUUGUAUUAUGUUAAACCAUUAAAAUUGUGAAGGCCUAUUUAUUACAGCAGCUACCAUGAUCUCACUGAUACAAUUCCAUAUUUAUUUUUAAAUUCAUGGACAAUUUGUCUUUAAAUUGAUAUAUAUAAACACUUAGAGUGAUUAUUAAUAUGGUUGAAUUAAAACCCACUAUGUUUAAUGUUCUAAUUAUUAUAUUUGUUCUUUGUUUCAUUUUAUUUCCCUCUUCCGCGUUGUCCAGUUUCAAGUGAGCAUUUUAUGUGAUUCCAUUUUAUGUCCUCUCACACCAUAUCAAUUAUACUUCUUUAAAAAAUAUUUUUAGUAGUUGACUUGAAAUUUCAAACAUGUCCUUUUAACCAGUUUAAGUCCACCUUCAAAUAACUACAAUGCUUCAUGUGUAUAUAAUGCAGUUACCUUAUUAUAGAGUAUUCCCUAUUCCUCUCUCCAGUCUCUUAUUCACUCAUUCAUUUAUUUUACUUAUCCAUGUGCUAUAAUAACCCAAUAUAUUAUAACUGUUAUUGCUAUUAUAUUAAAAAUGGAAAAACAAUUAGAGACAUCAUUUUACCUUGAUUUAUUAUUUCUCCAAAACACUUCCUUUCUUCAUGUAGGUCUGAGUUUCUGACCUGUAUCAUUUUUCUUUCACCCUGAAAUGCUUCUUUUAACAUUUCUUUCAGGUCAUGUUUGCUGAUGAUAAAGUCGUUCAAACCUUUGUUUGAGGAAGUCUUCAUUUCUUCUUUAUUUUGAAGAAUAAUUUUACUGGCAAUAGAAUUAUAGAUCAGUGGGUUUUCCUUUCAAAACUUUAAAUAUUGCCUUCCAUUCUCUUUGCAUAGUUUCUAAUCAGAAGACCAUUGUAAUUCUUAUCUUGUUCAACUGUAAGUAAGGUAUAUUUUUUUUCUCUGUCUCCUUUCAAGAUUUGCUCUUUUUCUUUGAUUUUCUACAGCUUUGGUUAUUGUUGUUAUUGUUUAUGGGGGUGUAAUUUAUCUUCCUUGGUGUUUUCUGAGCUUCCUAGAUCUGUGGUUUAGUGUCUGAUUAAUGUUGGUAAGUUCUCAACUAUUAUAACUUCUGCUCUGUUUCCUCUUUCUUCUCCUUCUGGUUUUCCAGUCAUGUAUAUGUUACUUUUUUUUUUAUGCAGUUAUCUUACUUCUCAGAUAUUGUAGGGAUUUUUUUAUUCUUUUUUUUCCUCCUUUACCUUUAAUUCAGUAAUGACCUAUCUUCAUUCUCAUUAGCUCUAUCCUUAGGCAUGCCCGAUCUACUGAUGAGCACUUUAAGACACUUCUCAUUUCUAUCUUUGAUUUCUAGCAUUUCCUUUUGAUUCUUUCUUACAGGGUCCAUCUCUCUGCUUACAUUGCUCAUCUGUUUUUAUACAUUCUCUACUUUUUUUCUUUAGGGUCUUUAAUUUGUUAAUAAUAUGUAUUUUCAAUUCUGGUAAUUGUAACAUCUGUACCAUAUCCAAGUCUGAUUCUGUUUCUUGCCUUGUCUCUUCAGACUGUGUUUUCUUGCUUUUUGGCAUGCUUUGUAAUUUUUUUGGUUUGUUUGUUUCAAGUUUUUAUUUAAAUUCUAGUUAGUUAACAUAUAGUGUAAUAUUAGUUUCAGGAGUAGGAUUUAGUGAUUCAUCACUUACAUACAACACCCAGUGCUCAUCCCAACAAUUGCCCUCCUUAAUACCCAUCACCCACUUAGCUUUGUAAUUAUUUUAAAAGCCAGAUAUAUUAUGCUAAUAUUUGCCAUAAAUGUAGGUACCAAGUAUUCAAUUUCUUCCAGUACUCUUGUUUUUAUCUUCCCUGUUGACUUUGGGCUACUCUAAGUACUCUUCUUCAGAGAUAGUCUGCAUUUUACAGCUUUUUCCAUUCUAAUCCACUAUCAUGACAUUGGAGCCCUGUUGGUGUGGUGAUGAAGUGUGGGAAAAGGGAAGCAUUCUAUCAUCUUAUGAUUACAUCUCAGUUCUUAGUAAGUCUAAGUUCCUGGGCUGUGACCUUCACAAAUGCUUCUCCAUGGUAAAAAUUUUUCCCCCUUAGGUGAUCCCAAAAGGCUAGCUGGAGUGAGAAUGCCCUUCCUUCAGUUGGCGUGAGGCUCUGGUAAAGUCUUUUGUCCUCAAGCAUGUGUCUUUGUUAUGGAGAACUCUCUGGGAAUAUUUCACAAUGAUUAUUCUUUGCCUGUCUAUGCCAAAGCCACAAGAGCAUCUUUCUUGGCUCUUCCCUGUGAGAAUCUGGUGGGAUUCCUGGAGUUUAAAUCUCAUGGGAGACCCAUAAAACUGAAACCUCCACAAGUGACUCAGUCUCCUGCUAGUCCAUACUCAACCUGCAGCAUUUCCUCAAAAUUACCAUUCAAGUAUCCAUGCCAGAUUAUGGCACCAGCAGCUGCUUCCCUGGUGCUUCCAUUUACUAAUUACAUGUCCUAGACGAAGUCUCUGAACUCUCUGAGCCUCAGUGGAGGAGAUGUCUCCAUGUCCUCAUCUCUGAAAAGAGUUUUAACCUUAUCUCCCACGUGGGUGGUGAUGAGACUUAUAUGAGAAGAGCAAGAGAAUUGUUUUGGUCAUUCCAUCAGCUUCAGAAGCCCAAGUAAGUGUGCUGGUUAAAAUGUUCAGUGCACACAUCUGUCAGCAUGUUCCACAUGAGAAACAAAAGACUACAGCUGCAAUCAUAGCCUUAGGAGCCAGCAAGCAGAACGAGUAGCUAGAACAACGCAAAGUCAGAAAACCAGCAAGUGAACUGCAUAAACGCUAAGGAGAGAAAGCCCUACAGCAGACUACUCCUCAGCUGACAAGGGACAGAGCAAAGUAAAAUUAGGGGAAUAGACUGGAAAAUGAAGACAUAUCACUGCUCCAAACUGGUGCAAAUCACAUUCCUUGUUGCUCCUCUAUAACUUGUAUGCAUUGCUUUAAUUUUGGUUUGGUAAAUGGAAAAUAUAAUUAUCCGGUUCGGUGGAAUUUAUCAAAACCUUCAAGACUUAGUGUGGUGAUCAUUUUGCAGUGUAUACUAAUAUCAAAUUAUUAUGGCAUAUGCCGGAAACUAAUAUAAUGUUAUAUGUCAAUUAUACCUCAAUGAAAAAGAGAAUUUUUAAAUUUCUAGUUACUGUGUAGUACUUAAUGCAUUGUUAAAUAUUUAGUAAAACUAAAAAUACUUAUUUGACCAGCAUUAUAUUUACUCUUGAAAAUAAGGAUAAGGAAAAAGAUCAACUGUUAAAAUAGGUGUAGCAAAUUAUUUUAAGUUGAAAGAUAUCCUUGCAUGGAGGGGAAAAAUUUUGUGAAAGUAAUUGUAAAUAUUUGUGGGGACUUUUCAUAUAAAAAUCAUGGGUUCAGCUCAUGUGUCCCUUUAAUACUCCAUACUACCUCAUGAUGGACUUUUGUUUGGCAAACUUUUGUGUUUUAACCAUAAUCAGCUAUGUGAGUCGAAUUAGCAAUGUCCAAAAAUCAUCUGCUAUUUAAUUCUUAACUAUUUGUAGAGACUCCAAAUACUAUCCAUGCAUAUGUGCAAGAUACAAAUUUUUGCCUUUCAGGAGUAUAUUAUCAUUUAUAAACUCAAAUAAGUGUUCAUAAUUAUGAUUAUGCAAAAAAUAUAUAAUAAUGCCUCUAAUAAAAGCCUCUUUUGAGAAAUAAACAUUGGUGAUUGUAUCAAGUUGCAUACACAUGUGUCUGUUAUGUGGCAUACAUGAGAACAUUAAAUGCCAUGAAGCAAAACAGACUCUAAGUAAUCAACUUUAAAAUAUAUUUCAUCCUGGAUGCAUGGAAUUUGAAGACUACAGUUGACCCAUGAAAGUCUAGUUAAGAUGUCACCUCUUCCAUAAACAUCCCAAUUCAUCCCCUGUAAGUGAAUUUUUUCCUCCGCUAAGAGCCCUCAAAAUUUUAUUUUCAUCUCCACUCUUCAUUUCUAACUAUUGUGUUAUGCAUUGCAGGAUUUACUUUUGCAUAAUUUGUUUUUCAGCAAUACCGUAAAUUCCUUGAAGGAAAAGAAUGUGACUGGAAAAUACUUGUCAACCAUACACACACAUAUACACUUUGCUUACCAUGUUAUAAUCACUUAAUAAACGUUCAUUGGGU
Long non-coding RNA from Acinonyx jubatus (cheetah), 6025 nucleotides. RefSeq lists it as uncharacterized. The record is from RefSeq and is a predicted model, not a curated record. The transcript is spliced from 4 exons. Lineage: Eukaryota; Metazoa; Chordata; Mammalia; Carnivora; Felidae.